Helianthus annuus (common sunflower) is the source of this 346-nucleotide long non-coding RNA. RefSeq lists it as uncharacterized. The transcript has 2 exons. NCBI's taxonomy places the organism in Eukaryota, Viridiplantae, Streptophyta, Magnoliopsida, Asterales, Asteraceae. The record is from RefSeq and is a predicted model, not a curated record.
GAACAUGAUUACUGGUACCUAACAUGCUAACUGUGCUAUUCUUAUCAUCGAUUCCACGACUGGUGGUUUUGAAGCUGGUAUUCAAAAGACGGACACACCCGUGAACAUGCUCUUCUUGCUUUUACCCUUGGUGUCAAGCAAGAUGGAUGCCACCACACCAAAGUACUCUAAAGCGAGGUGUGAUGAAAUUGUUAAGUAAGUGUCAUCAUACUUGAAGAAGGUCAGGUACAACCUGGACAAAAUCACAUUUGUUCCAAUCUCUGGAUCUGAAGGAGACAACAUCAUUAAGAGGUCUACGAACCUUGACGGUACAUGGGUCCGACCCUUUUUGAAGCACUUGACCAUA